UACAUGCAGUCGUACGCUAGCCGCUGAAUUGAUCCUUCGGGUGAAGUGAGGCAAUGACUAGAGUGGCGAACUGGUGAGUAACACGUAAGAAACCUGCCCUUUAGUGGGGGAUAACAUUUGGAAACAGAUGCUAAUACCGCGUAACAACAAAUCACACAUGUGAUCUGUUUGAAAGGUCCUUUUGGAUCGCUAGAGGAUGGUCUUGCGGCGUAUUAGCUUGUUGGUAGGGUAGAAGCCUACCAAGGCAAUGAUGCGUAGCCGAGUUGAGAGACUGGCCGGCCACAUUGGGACUGAGACACUGCCCAAACUCCUACGGGAGGCUGCAGUAGGGAAUUUUCCGCAAUGCACGAAAGUGUGACGGAGCGACGCCGCGUGUGUGAUGAAGGCUUUCGGGUCGUAAAGCACUGUUGUAAGGGAAGAAUAACUGAAUUCAGAGAAAGUUUUCAGCUUGACGGUACCUUACCAGAAAGGGAUGGCUAAAUACGUGCCAGCAGCCGCGGUAAUACGUAUGUCCCGAGCGUUAUCCGGAUUUAUUGGGCGUAAAGCGAGCGCAGACGGUUUAUUAAGUCUGAUGUGAAAUCCCGAGGCCCAACCUCGGAACUGCAUUGGAAACUGAUUUACUUGAGUGCGAUAGAGGCAAGUGGAACUCC
Molecule: ribosomal RNA, 650 nt
Filed under: Oenococcus oeni
Lineage: Bacteria; Bacillati; Bacillota; Bacilli; Lactobacillales; Lactobacillaceae
Description: bacterial SSU rRNA
Rfam family: Bacterial small subunit ribosomal RNA
Source: RNAcentral